RNAcentral lists this ribosomal RNA (274 nucleotides) under uncultured bacterium. RNAcentral's name for it is "partial 16S ribosomal RNA". It matches the Rfam family "Bacterial small subunit ribosomal RNA", at positions 523 to 796 of the family's 1533-position model. The record is from RNAcentral.
AUACGGAGGGUGCAAGCGUUACUCGGAAUCACUGGGCGUAAAGCGCGCGCAGGCGGCUUGGUAAGUUGGAUGUGAAAGCCUACGGCUCAACCGUAGAACUGCAUCCAAAACUGUCAAGCUAGAGUGUGGGAGAGGAAGAUGGAAUUAGUUGUGUAGGGGUAAAAUCCGUAGAGAUAACUAGGAAUACCAAAAGCGAAGGCAAUCUUCUGGAACACUACUGACGCUGAGGCGCGAAAGCGUGGGGAGCAAACAGAAUUAGAAACCCUAGUAGUCC